Molecule: long non-coding RNA, 752 nt
Organism: Rhinopithecus roxellana (golden snub-nosed monkey)
Lineage: Eukaryota; Metazoa; Chordata; Mammalia; Primates; Cercopithecidae
Exons: 5
Source: RefSeq, a predicted model, not a curated record
CCCGCGCUGGGGACGGAACUUGCCGAAAGCCUUCGGGUUUCUUCGCCCGAGGCGGACGGGUUCCGCCGGGAGAGGGAAAGCGAAGGCGGGCUGAGCCCGGCGCCGGGAGGAGUUGUCUAAACCCCAGCGCGGCGUUCGGAUCGAUAAAACUGGCGGCGGAAAUUUGAAGGAGGAAGCGGGGUUUGUGUGUGGCCCAGUGGGGGAAUUCCCGACGGGUGUCGGCGACUUGGUGGAAACCCCCACGCAGGAGACGUGUCUUUAGGAAGCAGAGAGUGUUCAAAUCUGGACUCCGCCCAUGACUCACUUCUCUUGUAAAGAACUGUCCUUCCUGGUACUCCAGGUUUAUGGGAUGCAGGCUAAUGGAGAAUGCUCUAUCUGGGACACUGCUAGUCUUAUGACAGAGGGAGAAGACAGCGAUGCUGUGAUCUGGAAAGCCAUGUGCUGAGACAGUGAAGCCAUUGGAUGGAUGCCUCCUGGUUUACUGAGUUCCCAAAGAGAGGACAGAUGCUAGGGAGUUGCCCAAUUGCCAUAGCACUCGUGUGAGCAAGAAAUUGAACUUUGACAAACAUACUGAAGUCCCAAUCAGUUACAAAGACGUAAUAGGCCGCAUUAUGCGCAUCCACAAAUACAUAUAUACCUCCAAGUCUGUAGGAAAAAAAGAGUUUCCGGCUACCUCCGGUAUGGUUUUCUGUUUAAAACAUUUUUCUUAAUUUGUUAAUUCACUGUCGCUUUAGAAAGAUGGUAAGAUGAAG